This 580-nucleotide ribosomal RNA is filed under the name uncultured bacterium. RNAcentral's name for it is "partial 16S ribosomal RNA". It matches the Rfam family "Bacterial small subunit ribosomal RNA", at positions 355 to 932 of the family's 1533-position model. The record is from RNAcentral.
UGGGGAAUUUUGGACAAUGGGCGAAAGCCUGAUCCAGCAAUGCCGCGUGUGUGAAGAAGGCCUUCGGGUUGUAAAGCACUUUUGUCCGGAAAGAAAUCCUCUGGGUUAAUACCUCGGGGGGAUGACGGUACCGGAAGAAUAAGCACCGGCUAACUACGUGCCAGCAGCCGCGGUAAUACGUAGGGUGCAAGCGUUAAUCGGAAUUACUGGGCGUAAAGCGUGCGCAGGCGGUUUUGUAAGACGGAUGUGAAAUCCCCGGGCUUAACCUGGGAACUGCAUUCGUGACUGCAAGGCUAGAGUAUGGCAGAGGGGGGUAGAAUUCCACGUGUAGCAGUGAAAUGCGUAGAGAUGUGGAGGAAUACCGAUGGCGAAGGCAGCCCCCUGGGCCAAUACUGACGCCCAUGCACGAAAGCGUGGGGGAGCAAACAGGAUUAGAUACCCUGGUAGUCCACGCCCUAAACGAUGUCAACUAGUUGUUGGGGAUUCAUUUCCUUAGUAACGUAGCUAACGCGUGAAGUUGACCGCCUGGGGAGUACGGCCGCAAGAUUAAAACUCAAAGGAAUUGACGGGGUCAUAGCUG